AGCGAACGCUGGCGGCAGGCUUAACACAUGCAAGUCGAGCAGGCACUUUCGGGUGUCCGCGGCGGACGGGUGAGUAACGCGUGGGAACGUGCCCUCUGGUUCGGAAUAACUCAGGGAAACUUGAGCUAAUACCGGAUACGCCCUUUUGGGGAAAGGCUUGCUGCCGGAGGAUCGGCCCGCGUCUGAUUAGCUAGUUGGUGAGGUAACGGCUCACCAAGGCGACGAUCAGUAGCUGGUCUGAGAGGAUGAUCAGCCACACUGGGACUGAGACACGGCCCAGACUCCUACGGGAGGCAGCAGUGGGGAAUAUUGGACAAUGGGCGCAAGCCUGAUCCAGCCAUGCCGCGUGAGUGAUGAAGGCCUUAGGGUUGUAAAGCUCUUUUAUCCGGGACGAUAAUGACGGUACCGGAGGAAUAAGCCCCGGCUAACUUCGUG
Molecule: ribosomal RNA, 435 nt
Filed under: uncultured bacterium
Lineage: Bacteria
Description: partial 16S ribosomal RNA
Rfam family: Bacterial small subunit ribosomal RNA
Source: RNAcentral